This 442-nucleotide ribosomal RNA is filed under the name uncultured bacterium. RNAcentral describes it as "SSU rRNA". It matches the Rfam family "Bacterial small subunit ribosomal RNA", at positions 26 to 518 of the family's 1533-position model. The record is from RNAcentral.
AGAACGAACGCUGGCGGCAGGCCUAACACAUGCAAGUCGAACGCUCCGCAAGGGGAGUGGCAGACGGGUGAGUAACACGUGGGAACAUACCCUUCGGUUCGGAAUAACUCAGGGAAACUUGAGCUAAUACCGGAUACGUCCUGGCGGAGAAAGAUUUAUCGCCGAAGGAUUGGCCCGCGUCCGAUUAGCUAGUUGGUGAGGUAACGGCUCACCAAGGCGACGAUCGGUAGCUGGUCUGAGAGGAUGAUCAGCCACACUGGGACUGAGACACGGCCCAGACUCCUACGGGAGGCAGCAGUGGGGAAUAUUGGACAAUGGGCGCAAGCCUGAUCCAGCCAUGCCGCGUGAGUGAUGAAGGCCCUAGGGUUGUAAAGCUCUUUCGUCAGGGACGAUAAUGACGGUACCUGAAGAGAAGCCCGGCUAACUUCGUGCCAGCAGCCGC